This 681-nucleotide ribosomal RNA is filed under the name Boletellus dicymbophilus. Its description in RNAcentral is "eukaryotic LSU rRNA". The stretch from base 117 to 271 matches the Rfam family "5.8S ribosomal RNA". The record is from RNAcentral. Lineage: Eukaryota; Fungi; Basidiomycota; Agaricomycetes; Boletales; Boletaceae.
UAUCUCUUUCCAUCACACACCUGUGCACUUUCUGUAGGUCCUCGAGAGGGGAUCUAUGUCUUUUCGUAUCACAUCACACGUCGUAUGUCCAUAGAAUGUCGUCGAAAUCAUAUUACAACUUUCAGCAACGGAUCUCUUGGCUCUCGCAUCGAUGAAGAACGCAGCGAAUUGCGAUAAGUAAUGUGAAUUGCAGAUUUCCAGUGAAUCAUCGAAUCUUUGAACGCACCUUGCGCUCCUUGGUAUUCCGAGGAGCAUGCCUGUUUGAGUGUCAUUGAAUUCUCAACCAUGUCUUGAUUCGUUUCGAGCGCAUGGCUUGGAGUUGGGAGCUGCUGGCAGCCCAGGCUGUCGGCUUUCCUGAAAUGCAUUAGCAAAAGGUCGCUGGUCUUUAGACAUGCACGGCCUCGGACGUGAUAAUGAUCGUCCUCGCUGGAGUGUCUUUUGAUCGUGCACAGAACGGCCUAUUGCUUCUAGUCUGCACGACGUCGCUCGACACUAUUAGUUCGGUCGCAAGACUGGCGAACGUGUAGGGCAACCUCUCGCUUUGGAUACUUGACCUCAAAUCAGGUAGGACUACCCGCUGAACUUAAGCAUAUCAAUAAGCGGAGGAAAAGAAACUAACAAGGAUUCCCCUAGUAACUGCGAGUGAAGCGGGAAAAGCUCAAAUUUUGAAUCUGGCAGUCU